Molecule: ribosomal RNA, 492 nt
Filed under: uncultured bacterium
Lineage: Bacteria
Description: partial 16S ribosomal RNA
Rfam family: Bacterial small subunit ribosomal RNA
Source: RNAcentral
AGUGAACGCUGGCGGUAGGCCUAACACAUGCCAGUCGAACGGCAGCACAGUAAGAGCUUGCUCUUACGGGUGGCGAGUGGCGGACGGGUGAGGAAUAUAUCGGAAUCUACUUUUUCGUGGGGGAUAACGUAGGGAAACUUACGCUAAUACCGCAUACGACCUACGGGUGAAAGCAGGGGAUCUUCGGACCUUGCGCGAUUGAAUGAGCCGAUGUCGGAUUAGAGAGUUGGCGGGGUAAAGGCCCACCAAGGCGACGAUGCGUAGCUGGUCUGAGAGGAUGAUCAGCCACACUGGAACUGAGACACGGUCCAGACUCCUACGGGAGGCAGCAGUGGGGAAUAUUGGACAAUGGGCGCAAGCCUGAUCCAGCCAUACCGCGUGGGUGAAGAAGGCCUUCGGGUUGUAAAGCCCUUUUGUUGGGAAAGAAAAGCAGCAGGUUAAUACCCCGCUGUUCUGACGGUACCCAAAGAAUAAGCACCGGCUAACUUCGUG